Solanum stenotomum is the source of this 836-nucleotide long non-coding RNA. RefSeq lists it as uncharacterized. The record is from RefSeq and is a predicted model, not a curated record. NCBI's taxonomy places the organism in Eukaryota, Viridiplantae, Streptophyta, Magnoliopsida, Solanales, Solanaceae. The transcript is spliced from 2 exons.
AGAAAUUAGAUUGUUGUAUUUUAUACUCAUUUUUACAUCUAUAUAUAAAAACUAUAACUUUCACAUUUUUCUCUAUUCCAGGUUGCACGAAGACAUUUGAUUCAGUCCCUGCUCUGAGGAAGGCAGUUAUAUUAGGCUACAGCCCUAUUAGACCUUGGAUGUCUGUAGUUUACAGGUUCACUAUAGAAACCAAGUUCGAGCUCUCUUUCGCCUAUAUAAAAUAAACGCAAUGAAUCAUAUUGUUGCAAUGUGUUUUGUUGUGUAUUUUAUGCUAAGCUCCAUCCAACUGCUAUGAAGUCUUCCAAAGUAAGCAGAGUUAUUGUCAUUCCCUUAUCUUGCUUUGUUAUAUAUAGUAGCAUACAACAGGAGGCCUUUUUUUAUUUUCACGUUUUAGUGUUGUUCAUCUUCAUUUCGCCCUUAAAAGCAAGGUAUAAAGGUUGAAAUGAAUUUCAAAAUGAUAACUCUGCAGUUCCCUACAUAGUGGGAUGGGGCACAGGAAAAGGAAAUGUAUAUGAGGCAGAAACUUUUGUCAUAAUUGAUGAUGUUAGACUUUUGUAAUUUUAAAAUCGGAUGCACAUCUGAAUAAACUAUGGUCUUGAUGUUAUGGGGAUGCCAAAUGAUGUCAUUAAUGUAGCUUAUUUUUGAGUUCUACUUUUUGAGAAUGUUGCUGAGACAUUCCAAGCAAAAGUCAUGUAUCUACAAGGAAUUGAUACUGAAACUUAGAGGUUGAGCAUUGUGAAGUGGAUAAAUUUCUUGUAAUGAGGAAUUCAGAGAAAUCAUUUUCUUUUGUAAUCAAGAUUUUAACCUGAUAAUUUUGGUAGCAUAUAUUUGUACUA